UGGUGUGAAUUGCAGAAUCCCGUGAACCAUCGAGUCUUUGAACGCAAGUUGCGCCCGAAGCCACUAGGCCGAGGGCACGCCUGCCUGGGCRUCACGC
RNAcentral lists this ribosomal RNA (97 nucleotides) under Pogostemon formosanus. Its description in RNAcentral is "partial 5.8S ribosomal RNA". It matches the Rfam family "5.8S ribosomal RNA", at positions 63 to 154 of the family's 154-position model. From Rfam's summary of the family: 5.8S ribosomal RNA (5.8S rRNA) is a component of the large subunit of the eukaryotic ribosome. It is transcribed by RNA polymerase I as part of the 45S precursor that also contains 18S and 28S rRNA. Functionally, it is thought that 5.8S rRNA may be involved in ribosome translocation. The record is from RNAcentral. Lineage: Eukaryota; Viridiplantae; Streptophyta; Magnoliopsida; Lamiales; Lamiaceae.